GCCCUGACAAGACAACUGUUAUAGUAUUCGGCAGAAUGCUGAUCUCGUCCUCUCGCCGGCAUACCUGAGGGACUCUUUUCGGGACGACCAGCUCCGAGUCUGCCGGCUCCUCCCACACCUGGUAGAGAGGCUCUAUCAGUUCACCAGACCUGCGUGAAAAAAAUAAAAGGUUCCGUUUCAUCAUCUCUUCAGCUUGGUGAAAAUACGCACGGCGUACCUUUUUAGCAGAAUGGCUCCAUGUCUGAAGAUGAUGGUGUAAAAGACCGCCUGGCAGGCGGUGUAGAAGGGUCCAUGGAGGCUGAUGUCACAGCAGGCCUGCCCGCCUUUACUAUCCUGACUGUCGAUGUAGCGAUGGAUCCACGGGAUGAGCAGGUCCAGACACGCCCGGACUGUGCUGCGGGAGAUAAGUGCACACUCGAUUAGAUCAGAGUUCAAAUAUCUUGCGGUCUCGGUUACGAGCGAGGGCAAAAUGAAAUGCCAGAUAUUCACGAGAGCAAAAUUGUCAAUAAGCUUACACCACAGGGAUGAAGUUGGCUCUGGCGAGGAAGCUUCCCAUGUAUCCCGCAGCAGCCUGGCGGAGGACAGCGGGCUGAGAUGGACUCUGCAGAAUCUUCCAUAAGUGCUCCAGGAAAGCCUCCCCAAGUGCCUUGAAGACAGAAUGAUGAUUCAAUAUUAAUACAGCCACCCUCGUGAGGGAGGGGAAAAAAAAAGGGGGAGCAGACUCACCACCCUGAAGCUGCAGAGGUAAAAAACCAGACCGCCUGGAAGUGAAGAUAGGAUAGCUCUGAAGAAUGUAUUCCGAUGAUUCCUAGUGGUCCAAGCGGGAGUGACGAGAGAAUAAAACAAGGAGUAAUGGGGUACCGUUGACGAGGCAGACGUCCUUGAUGUACGCCAACAGGAUUGCCAUGAGUGAAUCAAGCCUGUCAGCCACCGGGUGGGACAUGACUUCCAAAUUGGGGGGCUCAUCUGUCUGCAGGUCCUCGUCCUAGUGCACACGCACACAAUUGGAAACUCUACACAAGACGAUGAUAACGAAAAAGAUCUCUUCCGUACCAUAUCAAAGAGGGCCUCUUCGGUAGAGUUGCCUGGCGUAUGGCUUUGAACCCUUUUCUCUUCAGCCUCUUCGAUAUCGGAACGGGAUGCGCUCACCUAAAACGGAAUCGACGUUGUCACCCGGAAAAGAAUGAUCAUUUAUAUGUCCGUGAAAUAAAGCUUACAUCUAGUUUAA
Molecule: long non-coding RNA, 1228 nt
Organism: Syngnathus typhle (broad-nosed pipefish)
Lineage: Eukaryota; Metazoa; Chordata; Actinopteri; Syngnathiformes; Syngnathidae
Exons: 3
Source: RefSeq, a predicted model, not a curated record